Molecule: ribosomal RNA, 894 nt
Filed under: Neogyromitra caroliniana
Lineage: Eukaryota; Fungi; Ascomycota; Pezizomycetes; Pezizales; Discinaceae
Description: eukaryotic LSU rRNA
Rfam family: Eukaryotic large subunit ribosomal RNA
Source: RNAcentral
GGGAUUGCCUCAGUAACGGCGAGUGAAGCGGCAACAGCUCAAAUUUUAAAGCCGGCGUCCUCGACGCCCGCGUUGUAAUUUGGAGAGGCAUCUUCGGUUUGGGCGCCAGCCUAUGUUCCUUGGAACAGGACGUCACAGAGGGUGAGAAUCCCGUGCUUGGCUGGCUGUCCCUCUCCAUGUGAAGUGUCUUCGACGAGUCGAGUUGUUUGGGAAUGCAGCUCAAAAUGGGUGGUAAAUUUCAUCUAAAGCUAAAUAUUGGCGGGAGACCGAUAGCGCACAAGUAGAGUGAUCGAAAGAUGAAAAGCACUUUGAAAAUAGAGUUAAAAAGUACGUGAAAUUGUUGAAAGGGAAGCGCUUGAGACCAGACUCGGCCGACGGCGAUCAGCGGCCCUUCUGGGCUGUGCACUCGUCAUCGGUUCGGGCCAGCAUCGGUCGAGACGGCGGGAUAAAGGCCCGAGGAAUGUGGCUCCUCUCGGGGAGUGUUAUAGCCUCGGGCGCAAUGCCGCCCGCCUCGACCGAGGACCGCGCUCUUUUGCUAGGAUGCUGGCGUAAUGGUCUUCAGCGACCCGUCUUGAAACACGGACCAAGGAGUCUAACAUCUAUGCGAGUGUUUGGGUGUCAAACCCUUGCGCGUAAUGAAAGUGAACGGAGGUGGGAACCCCUCCUCUGGGGGGGCGCACCAUCGACCGAUCCUGAUGUCUUCGGAUGGAUUUGAGUAGGAGCAUAGCUGUUGGGACCCGAAAGAUGGUGAACUAUGCCUGAAUAGGGUGAAGCCAGAGGAAACUCUGGUGGAGGCUCGCAGCGGUUCUGACGUGCAAAUCGAUCGUCAAAUUUGGGUAUAGGGGCGAAAGACUAAUCGAACCAUCUAGUAGCUGGUUCCUGCCGAAGUUUCCC